ACUCGGCGAAAUUGCAGUGUGAGUAAAGAUGCUCACUACCUGCGACAGGACGGAAAGACCCCGGAACCUUUACUGCAACUUGGCAUUGGAGUCUGACAUGUGAUGUGUAGGAUAGGUGGGAGGCUUUGAAGCGCUGGCGCUAGCCGGCGUGGAGCCAACCUUGAAAUACCACCCUUCACAUAGCGGGCUUCUAACCUCGGUCCGUGAUCCGGAUCAGGAACAGUGCCUGGUGGGCAGUUUCACUGGGGCGGUGGCCUCCCAAAGCGUAACGGAGGCGCCCAAAGGUUCCCUCAGUCUGGUCGGCAAUCAGACGUUGAGUGUAAAGGCACAAGGGAGCUUGACUGCGAGACCUACAAGUCGAGCAGGUACGAAAGUAGGGCUUAGUGAACCCACGGUGGCGCGUGGAAGCGCCGUGGUUCAUCGGCUAAAAGGUACUCCGGGGAUAACAGGCUUAUACCCCCCAAGAGUCCAUAUCGACGGGGGUGUUUGGCACCUCGAUGUCGGCUCGUCGCAUCCUGGGGCUGGAGCAGGUCCCAAGGGUCGGGCUGUUCGCCCGUUAAAGCGGCACGCGAGCUGGGUUUAGAACGUCGUGAGACAGUUCGGUCCCUAUCCGUCGCAGGCGCAGGAGGUUUGAGAGGAGCUGUCCCUAGUACGAGAGGACCGGGAUGGACGCACCGCUGGUGUGCCAGUUGUUCUGCCAAGAGCAUGGCUGGUUAGCUACGUGCGGAAGGGAUAAGCGCUGAAGGCAUCUAAGUGCGAAGCCCACCUCGAGAUGAGACCUCCCACCGGAUCAACCGGGUAAGGCCCCUGGUAGAAGACCAGGUUGAUAGGCCGGAAGUGUAAGCACAGCAAUGUGUUCAGCUGACCGGUACUAAUCGGCCGAGGGCUUGGAUUU
RNAcentral lists this ribosomal RNA (895 nucleotides) under Acidimicrobiia bacterium. RNAcentral's name for it is "partial 23S ribosomal RNA". It matches the Rfam family "Bacterial large subunit ribosomal RNA", at positions 2031 to 2925 of the family's 2925-position model. The record is from RNAcentral. Lineage: Bacteria; Bacillati; Actinomycetota; Acidimicrobiia.